CCUACGGGUGGCAGCAGUGGGGGAUAUUGCACAAUGGGGGGAACCCUGAUGCAGCGACGCCGCGUGGGUGAAGGAGUGCUUCGGCAUGUAAAGCCCUAUCGGCAGGGAAGAAGUAAGACGGUACCUGACUAAGAAGCCCCGGCUAACUACGUGCCAGCAGCCGCGGUAAGAGGUAGGGGGCGAGGGUUAUCCGGAUUCACUGGGUGUAAAGGGAGCGUAGACGGCCAUGCGAGCCAGGGGCGAAAGCCCCGGGGCCAACCCCGGGAUUGCCCUUAAAACUGCAUGGCUGGAGUGCGGGAGGGGCAGGCGGAAUACCUGGUGUAGUGGUGAAAUGCGUAGAUAUGAGGAAGAACACCGACGGCGAAGGCGGCCUACUGGACCGCGACUGACGUUGAGGCUCGAGAGCGUGGGGAGCGAACAGGAUUAGAUACCCGAGUAGUC
Molecule: ribosomal RNA, 441 nt
Filed under: uncultured bacterium
Lineage: Bacteria
Description: partial 16S ribosomal RNA
Rfam family: Bacterial small subunit ribosomal RNA
Source: RNAcentral